GAUGAACGCUGGCGGCGUGCCUAAUACAUGCAAGUCGAGCGAACGGACGAGAAGCUUGCUUUUCUGAUGUUAGCGGCGGACGGGUGAGUAACACGUGGAUAACCUACCUAUAAGACUGGGAUAACUUCUGGAAACCGGAGCUAAUACCGGAUAAUAUUUUGAACCGCAUGGUUCAAAAGUGAAAGACGGUCUUGCUGUCACUUAUAGAUGGAUCCGCGCUGCAUUAGCUAGUUGGUAAGGUAACUGCUUACCAAGGCAACGAUGCAUAGCCGACCUGAGAGGGUGUUCGGCCACACUGGAACUGAGACACGGUACAGACACAUACGGGAGGCAGCAGUAGGGAAUCUUCCGCGAUGGGCGAAAGACUGACGGAGCAACGCAGCGUGAGUGAUGGAGGUCUUCGGAUCGUAAAACUCUGUUAUUAGGGAAGAACAUAUGUGUAAGUAACUGUGCACAUCUUGACGGUACCUAAUCAGAAAGCCACGGCUAACUACGUG
This 497-nucleotide ribosomal RNA is filed under the name uncultured bacterium. RNAcentral's name for it is "partial 16S ribosomal RNA". It matches the Rfam family "Bacterial small subunit ribosomal RNA", at positions 28 to 507 of the family's 1533-position model. The record is from RNAcentral.